Long non-coding RNA from Ficedula albicollis (Collared flycatcher), 691 nucleotides. RefSeq lists it as uncharacterized. The transcript has 3 exons. Lineage: Eukaryota; Metazoa; Chordata; Aves; Passeriformes; Muscicapidae. The record is from RefSeq and is a predicted model, not a curated record.
AAUCUAAUUCCUGAGUGGGUUUAGCUUGCCGCAGAGGCAGAGGACUUCAGGAGCUAUGGAGCUCCUGAGCACCAGACAAGGUUUGGAUUGUUCCUGUGCUAGAUGCUGGUGGAAAUACGUGGGCAGACAGCUGGAUCCUGAGGAGCUCCCAAUGUCCCAGCAAGUGUGUGAAGGGGUAUUUUACACCUUGUGCAGCCUUCUCGUGCAGCCUUGGGCAGGUCCUUGCACCAGAUGCCACCUCUUUCCACCAGCUGCCUGUGAUCAGGAUUACUUGGGUGCCACAGGGCUGGAGACCUCCUGGGGACCAAUGGAUCAGCUCCACAAAGGGCCCAGCUCCAUCUCUCAGCAGCCAGGAGCAGCAGCAGACAAGCAAAGCAUUCCUGCAGAGCUGGGAUGGGAGUUGUAAACAGGACCUGGGGCCUGCCCCAAACCCAGGGGACUCCCUCCUCCCCCUGCCCGUGCAAACACCAGAUUAACAAUUUAUUUGACGUGUUGUGGCUGGUUGGCUCUUCACCCACUCCCCUGAUCAGAGGGAAUAAGUGUUGCAGUGUGCAAUAAUGUUCAUUUCAGGUGAGGGUAAAUAUAGAAAGGAAAACCUGCUGAGAGCAAGCCAUUUAUUCCUGUGUGUGGAAGCCUCCGCUCAUAAACAGUCAGUCAUGCCCAUUUGGAAAAUCCCAGUGUGGUUUUCUUG